RNAcentral lists this transfer RNA (71 nucleotides) under Synechococcus phage S-CBWM1. It matches the Rfam family "tRNA". From Rfam's summary of the family: Transfer RNA (tRNA) molecules are approximately 80 nucleotides in length. Their secondary structure includes four short double-helical elements and three loops (D, anti-codon, and T loops). The record is from Rfam by way of RNAcentral. Lineage: Duplodnaviria; Heunggongvirae; Uroviricota; Caudoviricetes.
GCCCGGUUAGUGUAACGGUAGCACGAGAGCCUCCAAAACUCUUUGUAAGGGUUCAAAUCCUUUACCGGGUG